UAGGGAAUCUUCGGCAAUGGACGAAAGUCUGACCGAGCAACGCCGCGUGAGUGAAGAAGGUUUUCGGAUCGUAAAACUCUGUUGUUAGAGAAGAACAAGGACGUUAGUAACUGAACGUCCCCUGACGGUAUCUAACCAGAAAGCCACGGCUAACUACGUGCCAGCAGCCGCGGUAAUACGUAGGUGGCAAGCGUUGUCCGGAUUUAUUGGGCGUAAAGCGAGCGCAGGCGGUUUCUUAAGUCUGAUGUGAAAGCCCCCGGCUCAACCGGGGAGGGUCAUUGGAAACUGGAAGCCUUGAGUGCAGAAGAGGAGAGUGGAAUUCCAUGUGUAGCGGUGAAAUGCGUAGAUAUAUGGAGGAACGCCAGUGGCGAGGGCGGCUCUCUGGUCUGUAACUGACGCUGAGGCUCGAAAGCGUGGGGAGCAAACAGG
This 429-nucleotide ribosomal RNA is filed under the name Gemmatimonadota bacterium. RNAcentral's name for it is "Gemmatimonadetes bacterium partial 16S ribosomal RNA". It matches the Rfam family "Bacterial small subunit ribosomal RNA", at positions 355 to 776 of the family's 1533-position model. The record is from RNAcentral. Lineage: Bacteria; Pseudomonadati; Gemmatimonadota.